CAAGAGCGUAUAUUAAAGUUGCUGCGGUUAAAAAGCUCGUAGUUGGAUUUCAGUCUAGGAAGGUUAACUCGCCGAAAGGUUGUACGUUGAUUUUCCUCAGACUUCGUCAGAAGCUCGUGCUGCACUUAACUGUGUGGUACGAUGUUCUGACCUUUUGCCUUGAGGAAAGUAGAGUGUUUCAGGCAGGCUACCCAGCUUGAAUACAUUAGCAUGGAAUAAUGAAAUGGAUCUCGGUUCGAUUUCGUUGGUUCUAGAGCUGAGGUGAUGAUCAAUAGGAACAGGCGAAGGUAUUCGUACUUGAGAGUGAGGAGUGAAAUCCGAUGAUCUCUUAAAGACGAUCCGAGGCGAAAGCAUUUGUCAAGGAUGUUUUCAUUGA
Molecule: ribosomal RNA, 376 nt
Filed under: uncultured eukaryote
Lineage: Eukaryota
Description: partial 18S ribosomal RNA
Rfam family: Eukaryotic small subunit ribosomal RNA
Source: RNAcentral